UCUUUAUGUAUUCUGCUGUGAGUCCCUAUUAGGUAUACCUUCUCGAAGGUUAGCCAACACGUCAUUCUGCUUGUGGAUGUUGACUUACAACUUGAUAAUAAUGGCAACAUACUUGCUGGUCGAUUUGCUGCUAGUGACAUUCGACAUACAGCAAGAAAU
Molecule: long non-coding RNA, 159 nt
Organism: Daphnia magna
Lineage: Eukaryota; Metazoa; Arthropoda; Branchiopoda; Diplostraca; Daphniidae
Exons: 2
Source: RefSeq, a predicted model, not a curated record